CGCUGGUUCCCGGCAGAGAGUGGUGGUGGCUUUACCCGCGACUGCCCUGGAGUCCUUGGCUGUAUCUCUGCUGCGGAGCCGAAGUUUGGUGGGCUCUCUUCCUAUCGGGGGCUGGAGCCGCAAGGAUCCAGGUUCUCUCUGAGGGGGCUCACGUGUCUACCUACUUUCAAGCUGUCCAACACUGAUGGCGUGUACUUAAGGGGCCGACGGCCUGGAAGACAUAAGUCGCCUGGACCACGCGGUGGACACCGGUUGGGGGCUGGAGACUGCCGACCCGGGCUGUGCGAAUGACAGCUGAGCUGGGACCUGGAGAAUGCAUCUGAAUUACCCAAAAGGAGAGUAGAGUGUUGCAUGCAGAGAACAGCGUAGGCAAAAUGGCCCGGCGAUAAUAAAGUUAGGUUCGGAGAACUGAAGUUAGUUAUGGCCAGAGCAGAGAUUGUGGGUGGGGAUAGGCGACAGACCAGGCUGGAGAAGGACACGGCGACUGCCUCACUCAGAUCCUAAUAACGUUAGACUGGUUUGAGUGCCACGCCAAGGUGGCACCAGGGAGUGUCAGAAAAUGCUUUGUAUAUCCAUGAGGUAAUGUCUACCACCAGAGGCCUGAGUUCCAUGACUAAAAUACACAUGGUG
This 630-nucleotide long non-coding RNA is filed under the name Homo sapiens (human). Its description in RNAcentral is "HSALNT0219232". Lineage: Eukaryota; Metazoa; Chordata; Mammalia; Primates; Hominidae. The record is from RNAcentral.